GUAACAGCUCACUGGUCGAGAGACUCUGCACGGAAAAUAAUCGGGCAUCAAACUACGAACCGAAGUUCUAAGAUUGCUACUAGGUAGUAUAUCGGUAGGGGAGCAUUGAAACUACAGCGAAGGUGUGCGGCGACGCAUGCUGGAGUGGUUUCAAAAGAAAAUGUAGGCAUAAGUAACGAUAAUUGAAGUGAAAAACUUCAACGCCGUAAACCCAAGGUUUCCUGAUCAAUGUUAAUCAGAUCAGGGUUAGUCGGGUCCUUAGGCAAACCCGAAAGGGGCAGCUGAUGGCAAGUCGGUUAAUAUUCCGACACCUGCUUAUACUUCGAUGGGGUGACGAGGUAGUGAAAGAUCCGCGUUCUUACGGAAUAGAACGUUAAAGGGUGUAGAUAUUAGUUGUGUAGGCAAAUCCGCACGAUUAGUCGAACCUGAUAGUACAGCAAAGCUUCGGCCGCGCUGAUAGUGAUCCUAAUCAAACCUCCGAGAAAAACCUCUAAGUUAUGGUAUAAGCAGCCCGUACCGCAAACCGACACAGGUGGGUGGGAUGAAUAUUCUAAGGCGCUCGGGUGAGCCGUGGAGAAGGAACUAGGCAAAUUAACGCUGUAACUUCGGGAUAAAGCGUACCAUAGAGAUAUGGUCACAGUAAAAUGAUUCAACCAACUGUUUAACAAAAACACAGGGCCCUGCAAAAUCGAAAGAUGACGUAUAGAGCCUGAUACCUGCCCGGUGCUGGAAGGUUAAGGAAGGAUGUUCGGCGCAAGCCAAAGCUUCUGACUGAAGCCCCAGUAAACGGCGGCCGUAACUAUAACGGUCCUAAGGUAGCGAAAUUCCUUGUCGGGUAAGUUCCGACCUGCACGAAUGGUCUAAUGAGUUGAGUACUGUCUCCUCCACGAGCCCGGUGAAAUUGUAGUAUCGGUGAAGAUGCCGGUUACCCGUCACGGGACGGAAAGACCCCAUGAACCUUCACUACAACUUUGCAUUGAUUUUGAAUUUUUGAUGUGUAGGAUAGUUGGGAGACUUUGAAGUUGUGUCGCCAGGCAUGAUGGAGUCAACGUUGAAAUACCAACCUUUAAACAUUUAGAAUCUAAUCCCUAACGGGAAACAGUGCAUGGUGGGUAGUUUGACUGGGGUGGUCGCCUCCUAAAGUGUAACGGAGGCUUGCAAAGGUUCCCUCAGUACGGUUGGUAAUCGUACAUAGAGCGUAUUAGUAUAAGGGAGCUUGACUGUGAGACUUACAAGUCGAGCAGGGACGAAAGUCGGCUAAAGUGAUCCGGCGGUUCUGUAUGGAAGGGCCGUCGCUCAAAGGAUAAAAGGUACUCCGGGGAUAACAGGCUGAUCU
This 1336-nucleotide ribosomal RNA is filed under the name activated sludge metagenome. Its description in RNAcentral is "bacterial LSU rRNA". It matches the Rfam family "Bacterial large subunit ribosomal RNA", at positions 1134 to 2488 of the family's 2925-position model. The record is from RNAcentral.